RNAcentral lists this ribosomal RNA (485 nucleotides) under uncultured bacterium. Its description in RNAcentral is "bacterial SSU rRNA". It matches the Rfam family "Bacterial small subunit ribosomal RNA", at positions 28 to 507 of the family's 1533-position model. The record is from RNAcentral.
GAUGAACGCUAGCGACAGGCUUAACACAUGCAAGUCGAGGGGCAGCGGGGGUAGCAAUACCCGCCGGCGACCGGCGCACGGGUGAGUAACGCGUAUGCAACUUACCUAUCAGAGGGGGAUAACCCGGCGAAAGUCGGACUAAUACCGCAUGAAGCAGGGGCCCCGCAUGGGGAUAUUUGCUAAAGAUUCAUCGCUGAUAGAUAGGCAUGCGUUCCAUUAGGCAGUUGGCGGGGUAACGGCCCACCAAACCGACGAUGGAUAGGGGUUCUGAGAGGAAGGUCCCCCACAUUGGUACUGAGACACGGACCAAACUCCUACGGGAGGCAGCAGUGAGGAAUAUUGGUCAAUGGCCGAGAGGCUGAACCAGCCAAGUCGCGUGAGGGAUGAAGGUUCUAUGGAUCGUAAACCUCUUUUAUAAGGGAAUAAAGUGCGGGACGUGUCCCGUUUUGUAUGUACCUUAUGAAUAAGGAUCGGCUAACUCCGUG